Molecule: ribosomal RNA, 197 nt
Filed under: uncultured bacterium
Lineage: Bacteria
Description: partial 16S ribosomal RNA
Rfam family: Bacterial small subunit ribosomal RNA
Source: RNAcentral
ACUCCUACGGGAGGCAGCAGUGGGGAAUAUUGGACAAUGGGCGCAAGCCUGAUCCAGCAGUGCCGCGGGAGUGAAGACGGCCUGCGGGUUGUAAAGCCCUUUAGGUGGGGAAGAAGAGUGGAGCGCGAACACCGUUUUACUUUGACAUUACCCACGGAAUAAGCACCGGCUAACUCCGUGCCAGCAGCCGCGGUAAU